RNAcentral lists this ribosomal RNA (253 nucleotides) under uncultured bacterium. Its description in RNAcentral is "partial 16S ribosomal RNA". It matches the Rfam family "Bacterial small subunit ribosomal RNA", at positions 524 to 776 of the family's 1533-position model. The record is from RNAcentral.
UACGGAGGAUGCAAGCGUUAUCCGGAAUGAUUGGGCGUAAAGCGUCCGCAGGUGGCUAUGUAAGUCUGCUGUUAAAGCGUCUGGCUCAACCAGAUAAAGGCAGUGGAAACUACAUGGCUAGAGUGCGUUCGGGGCAGAGGGAAUUCCUGGUGUAGCGGUGAAAUGCGUAGAGAUCAGGAAGAACACCGGUGGCGAAAGCGCUCUGCUAGGCCGCAACUGACACUGAGGGACGAAAGCUAGGGGAGCGAAUGGG